This 132-nucleotide small RNA is filed under the name Escherichia coli. RNAcentral describes it as "RtT sRNA". It matches the Rfam family "RtT RNA". From Rfam's summary of the family: This family represents a bacterial cis-regulatory element known as RtT RNA. The exact function of RtT is unknown although it is thought that it may be involved in changing the cellular response in relation to amino acid starvation. The record is from RNAcentral. Lineage: Bacteria; Pseudomonadati; Pseudomonadota; Gammaproteobacteria; Enterobacterales; Enterobacteriaceae.
AUUCUGCCCAAGCGGGGAAGGAUGAGAAGCUUCGACCAAGGUUCGACUCGAGCGCCAGCGAGAGAGCGUUGCCGCAGGCAACGACCCGAAGGGUGAAGCGCGCAGCGCUGAAUAAUCCUUCCCCAACCACCA